Molecule: ribosomal RNA, 406 nt
Filed under: uncultured bacterium
Lineage: Bacteria
Description: partial 16S ribosomal RNA
Rfam family: Bacterial small subunit ribosomal RNA
Source: RNAcentral
AUUGAACGCUGGCGGCAGGCCUAACACAUGCAAGUCGAGCGAGCGGCGGACGGGUGAGUAAUGUCUGGGGAACUGCCCGAUAGAGGGGGAUAACUACUGGAAACGGUAGCUAAUACCGCAUACUAUCGGAUGUACCCAUCUGGGCUUAGCUAGUGGGUGGGGUAAAGGCUCACCUAGGCGACGAGCCCUAGCUGGUCUGAGAGGAUGAUCAGCCACACUGGAACUGAGCCACGGUCCAGACUCCUACGGGAGGCAGCAGUGGGGAAUAUUGCACCAUGGGCGCAAGCCGGAUGCAGCCAUGCCGCGUGUAUGAAGAAGGCCUUAGGGUUGUAAAGUACUUUCAGCGGGGAGGCGUUACCCGCAGAAGAAGCACCGGCUAACUCCGUGCCAGCAGCCGCGGUAAUAC